Molecule: long non-coding RNA, 565 nt
Filed under: Chinchilla lanigera (long-tailed chinchilla)
Lineage: Eukaryota; Metazoa; Chordata; Mammalia; Rodentia; Chinchillidae
Description: lncRNA (ENSCLAG00000024636.1)
Source: RNAcentral
UAAAAGGUGCUUCUAAGUGCUGAGUUACUUACAUGUGUCAUUUUACUUUCAGCAUAAUCAUCUCUCAGGGCAGCCAUCGCUGUACUUAUUUUACUGGUUAGGAAACAACUUUGAUGUAUUGGAUAAAUCGUCUGCAGUCACAGAGGAUUCUACAGAGACUCCAACUCUUGCCUCCAUCCAGAAGUCUGGAGCUCUGGGGAGGUGAAAGACAGCACUUCAUGCAGACAGGAGAGGUCUGACCCACACGUUCAGGACAACUUCCUGAGCAGAGGAUACUCCAGGAGCCAAGGGCAACUGGAAAGAGCAGCCCACGCUGGGGGUCACAUCCCAGAAGCCCUUGGGGAAGCCUCGGAAGGGGCUGAGCUCCUCCUGAUUGAUGGAGCCUCGCGUAAACAGGCACUGAAGUGACCUAGUUUGUCCUCACAGGACGAUGAUGCCAGAGGACACGGGACACUGGCUGUUUUGUUGCUUUGGAGUUCCUGUUAUUAUUCAGACCUUUUGGUGUUUCUAUAGUUGCAUGCCACAACGAUUUAGGGUGGAGUUAGUCCAGGGGAGCGCUGGCACC